AGACACGGUCCAGACUCCUACGGGAGGCAGCAGUGGGGAAUAUUGGACAAUGGGCGAAAGCCUGAUCCAGCGACGUCACGUGAAUGAUGAAGACCUUAGGGUUGUAAAAUUCUUUUAGUGGAGAAGAUAAUGACGGUAUCCACAGAAAAAGUCCCGGCUAACUUCGUGCCAGCAGCCGCGGUAAUACGAAGGGGGCAAGCGUUACUCGGAAUUAUUGGGCGUAAAGCGUGCGUAGGCGGCUUUAUAAGUUGGAAGUGAAAGCCUUUGGCUCAACCAAAGAAUUGCUUACAAAACUGUAGAGCUAGAGUAUUAGAGAGGAUAGAAGAAUUUCUGAUGUAGGGGUGAAAUCCGUAGAUAUCAGAAAGAAUAUCGAAGGCGAAAGCAUCUGUCUGGCUAAAUACUGACGCUGUUGCACGAAAGCGUGGGGAGCAAACAGGAUUAGAUACCCUGGUAGUCCACGCAGUAAACGAUGAGUGCUAGAUGUUAGAACUAUGUUUUAGCGUCGAAGCUAACGCAUUAAGCACUCCGCCUGGGAACUACGAUCGCAAGGUUAAAACUCAAAGGAAUUGACGGGGACCCGCACAAGCGGUGGAACAUGUGGUUUAAUUCGAUGCUACGCGAAAAACCUUACCAAGUCUUGACAUGUUAGUCGUAUAGCUAAGAAACUAGCUAGUCAGUUCGGCUGGACUAUCACAGGUGUUGCAUGGCUGUCGUCAGCUCGUGUCGUGAGAUGUUGGGUUAAGUCCCGCAACGAGCGCAACCCUUAUCUUUAAUUGCCAACAGGUUAUGCUGGGAACUUUAAAGAAACUGCCAAUGGAGAAUUGGAGGAAGGUGAGGAUGACGUCAAGUCAGCAUGGCCCUUAUGACUUGGGCUACACACGUGUUACAAUGGUAGUUACAAUAUGAUGCAAUAGGGCGACCUGGAGCAAAUCUAAAAAACCUACCUCAGUUCGGAUUGCACCCUGCAACUCGGGUGCAUGAAGUUGGAAUCGCUAGUAAUCGCAGAUCAGCACGCUGCGGUGAAUACGUUCCCGGGUCUUGUACACACUGCCCGUCAAGCCAUGGAAGUUAAAUUUUCCUUAAGUAAAUGAGCUAACUGCAAAGAGGCAGUUUACCAAGGAGAAUUUGAUGACUGGGGUUAAGUCGUAACAAGGUAGCCGUAGGGGAACCUGCGGCUGGAUUACCUCCU
RNAcentral lists this ribosomal RNA (1189 nucleotides) under Candidatus Bandiella numerosa. Its description in RNAcentral is "bacterial SSU rRNA". It matches the Rfam family "Bacterial small subunit ribosomal RNA", at positions 322 to 1531 of the family's 1533-position model. Lineage: Bacteria; Pseudomonadati; Pseudomonadota; Alphaproteobacteria; Rickettsiales; Candidatus Midichloriaceae. The record is from RNAcentral.